RNAcentral lists this ribosomal RNA (468 nucleotides) under uncultured bacterium. RNAcentral describes it as "partial 16S ribosomal RNA". It matches the Rfam family "Bacterial small subunit ribosomal RNA", at positions 28 to 507 of the family's 1533-position model. The record is from RNAcentral.
GACGAACGCUGGCGGCGUGCUUAACACAUGCAAGUCGAACGGAAAGGCCCUGCUUUUGUGGGGUGCUCGAGUGGCGAACGGGUGAGUAACACGUGAGUAACCUGCCCUUGACUUUGGGAUAACUUCAGGAAACUGGGGCUAAUACCGGAUAGGAGCUCCUGCUGCAUGGUGGGGGUUGGAAAGUUUCGGCGGUUGGGGAUGGACUCGCGGCUUAUCAGCUUGUUGGUGGGGUAGGGGCUUACCAAGGCUUUGACGGGUAGCCGGCCUGGGAGGGUGACCGGCCACAUUGGGACUGCGAUACGGCCCAGACUCCUACGGGAGGCAGCAGUGGGGAAUAUUGCACAAUGGGCGGAAGCCUGAUGCAGCAACGCCGCGUGCGGGAUGACGGCCUUCGGGUUGUAAACCGCUUUCGCCUGUGACGAAGCGUGAGUGACGGUAAUGGGUAAAGAAGCACCGGCUAACUACGUG